RNAcentral lists this ribosomal RNA (253 nucleotides) under uncultured bacterium. Its description in RNAcentral is "partial 16S ribosomal RNA". It matches the Rfam family "Bacterial small subunit ribosomal RNA", at positions 524 to 776 of the family's 1533-position model. The record is from RNAcentral.
UACGUAGGGUGCGAGCGUUAAUCGGAAUUACUGGGCGUAAAGUGUACGCAGGCGGCCGCGCAAGUCGAGUGUGAAAGCCCCGGGCUUAACUUGGGAAUUGCGCUCGAAACUACGUGGCUGGAGUGUGGCAGAGGAAGGUGGAAUUCCAGGUGUAGCGGUGAAAUGCGUAGAGAUCUGGAGGAACACCGAUGGCGAAGGCAGCCUUCUGGGCCAACACUGACGCUCAUGCACGAAAGCGUGGGGAGCAAACAGG